RNAcentral lists this ribosomal RNA (508 nucleotides) under uncultured bacterium. RNAcentral's name for it is "bacterial SSU rRNA". It matches the Rfam family "Bacterial small subunit ribosomal RNA", at positions 28 to 528 of the family's 1533-position model. The record is from RNAcentral.
GACGAACGCUGGCGGCGUGGAUUAGGCAUGCAAGUCGAACGGUAUCAUCCUUUCGGGGGUGAGAGAGUGGCGAACUGGUGAGUAACACGUAGGUUAUCUACCCUCAAGACGGGGACAACCCAGGGAAACUUGGGCUAAUACCGGAUGUGAGCAACUUUUAGUUGUUUGAAAGGUGGCGUAAGCUGUCGCUUGGGGAUGAGCCUGCGUCCUAUUAGUUAGUUGGUGAGGUAACGGCUCACCUAGGCAAUGAUAGGUAGGCGGCCUUAACGGGUGGUCGCCCACACUGGGAUUGAGAUACGGCCCAGACUCCUACGGGAGGCAGCAGUCGAGAAUAGUCUACAAUGGUCGGAAGACUGAUAGUGCGACGCCGCGUGAACGAUGAAUCCCUUCGGGGUGUAAGUUCUUUUAUAUGUGAGCAGUGCUUCUUAUAUUAACAGUAUGGGGAGAGAGAUAUUAGCAUAUGAAUAAGCAACGGCUAACUCCGUGCCAGCAGCCGCGGUAAACUCGU